GAAGGUGUGUCGUGAGGCAUGCUGGAGGUAUCAGAAGUGCGAAUGCUGACAUAAGUAACGAUAAAGCGGGUGAAAAGCCCGCUCGCCGGAAGACCAAGGGUUCCUGUCCAACGUUAAUCGGGGCAGGGUGAGUCGACCCCUAAGGCGAGGCCGAAAGGCGUAGUCGAUGGGAAACGGGUUAAUAUUCCCGUACUUGGUGUUACUGCGAAGGGGGGACGGAGAAGGCUAUGUUGGCCGGGCGACGGUUGUCCCGGUUUAAGCGUGUAGGUGUGUGUUCCAGGUAAAUCCGGUUCACUUUAACACUGAGGCGUGACGACGAGGCACUACGGUGCUGAAGCAACAAAUGCCCUGCUUCCAGGAAAAGCCUCUAAGCAUCAGGUAACAUCAAAUCGUACCCCAAACCGACACAGGUGGUCAGGUAGAGAAUACCAAGGCGCUUGAGAGAACUCGGGUGAAGGAACUAGGCAAAAUGGUGCCGUAACUUCGGGAGAAGGCACGCUGACACGUAGGUGAAGUGAUUUACUCAUGGAGCUGAAGUCAGUCGAAGAUACCAGCUGGCUGCAACUGUUUAUUAAAAACACAGCACUGUGCAAACACGAAAGUGGACGUAUACGGUGUGACGCCUGCCCGGUGCCGGAAGGUUAAUUGAUGGGGUCAGCGCAAGCGAAGCUCCUGAUCGAAGCCCCGGUAAACGGCGGCCGUAACUAUAACGGUCCUAAGGUAGCGAAAUUCCUUGUCGGGUAAGUUCCGACCUGCACGAAUGGCGUAAUGAUGGCCAGGCUGUCUCCACCCGAGACUCAGUGAAAUUGAACUCGCUGUGAAGAUGCAGUGUACCCGCGGCAAGACGGAAAGACCCCGUGAACCUUUACUAUAGCUUGACACUGAACAUUGAGCCUUGAUGUGUAGGAUAGGUGGGAGGCUUUGAAGUGUGGACGCCAGUCUGCAUGGAGCCGACCUUGAAAUACCACCCUUUAAUGUUUGAUGUUCUAACGUGGACCCGUAAUCCGGGUUGCGGACAGUGUCUGGUGGGUAGUUUGACUGGGGCGGUCUCCUCCUAAAGAGUAACGGAGGAGCACGAAGGUUGGCUAAUCCUGGUCGGACAUCAGGAGGUUAGUGCAAUGGCAUAAGCCAGCUUGACUGCGAGCGUGACGGCGCGAGCAGGUGCGAAAGCAGGUCAUAGUGAUCCGGUGGUUCUGAAUGGAAGGGCCAUCGCUCAACGGAUAAAAGGUACUCCGGGGAUAACAGGCUGAUACCGCCCAAGAGUUCAUAUCGACGGCGGUGUUUGGCACCUCGAUGUCGGCUCAUCACAUCCUGGGGCUGAAGUAGGUCCCAAGGGUAUGGCUGUUCGCCAUUUAAAGUGGUACGCGAGCUGGGUUUAGAACGUCGUGAGACAGUUCGGUCCCUAUCUGCCGUGGGCGCUGGAGAACUGAGGGGGGCUGCUCCUAGUACGAGAGGACCGGAGUGGACGCAUCACUGGUGUUCGGGUUGUCAUGCCAAUGGCACUGCCCGGUAGCUAAAUGCGGAAGAGAUAAGUGCUGAAAGCAUCUAAGCACGAAACUUGCCCCGA
This 1567-nucleotide ribosomal RNA is filed under the name Salmonella enterica. Its description in RNAcentral is "partial 23S ribosomal RNA". It matches the Rfam family "Bacterial large subunit ribosomal RNA", at positions 1252 to 2802 of the family's 2925-position model. Lineage: Bacteria; Pseudomonadati; Pseudomonadota; Gammaproteobacteria; Enterobacterales; Enterobacteriaceae. RNAcentral also lists the same sequence under 2 other names. The record is from RNAcentral.